RNAcentral lists this transfer RNA (72 nucleotides) under Phakopsora pachyrhizi. Its description in RNAcentral is "tRNA-Ser". It matches the Rfam family "tRNA". Rfam says of the family: Transfer RNA (tRNA) molecules are approximately 80 nucleotides in length. Their secondary structure includes four short double-helical elements and three loops (D, anti-codon, and T loops). Lineage: Eukaryota; Fungi; Basidiomycota; Pucciniomycetes; Pucciniales; Phakopsoraceae. The record is from RNAcentral.
GCGCGCUUAGCUCAGUGGUUAGAGCAUCACUCUUGAAUCUUGGGGUUGCAGGUUCAAUUCCUGCAGUGCAAA